Non-coding RNA from Podarcis lilfordi (Lilford's wall lizard), 70 nucleotides. Lineage: Eukaryota; Metazoa; Chordata; Lepidosauria; Squamata; Lacertidae. The record is from the annotation of a GenBank genome assembly.
GGCCUCAGCUCAGUUGUACAGCAUCUGUCCUGCAAGCAGAAGGUUCCAGGUUCAAUUCCUGGCAUCUCCA